GGGCAGUUACCAGAGUGGCCAAAUGGAGCUGACUGUAACUCAGCUGGCUUUCGCCUUCGGUGGUUCGAAUCCAUCACUGCCCACCU
RNAcentral lists this transfer RNA (86 nucleotides) under Parabacteroides distasonis. RNAcentral's name for it is "tRNA-Tyr". It matches the Rfam family "tRNA". From Rfam's summary of the family: Transfer RNA (tRNA) molecules are approximately 80 nucleotides in length. Their secondary structure includes four short double-helical elements and three loops (D, anti-codon, and T loops). Further hydrogen bonds mediate the characteristic L-shaped molecular structure. tRNAs have two regions of fundamental functional importance: the anti-codon, which is responsible for specific mRNA codon recognition, and the 3' end, to which the tRNAs corresponding amino acid is attached (by aminoacyl-tRNA synthetases). tRNAs cope with the degeneracy of the genetic code in two manners: having more than one tRNA (with a specific anti-codon) for a particular amino acid; and 'wobble' base-pairing, i.e. permitting non-standard base-pairing at the 3rd anti-codon position. The record is from RNAcentral. Lineage: Bacteria; Pseudomonadati; Bacteroidota; Bacteroidia; Bacteroidales; Tannerellaceae.